CGUAAUAAUAGAAACUAACCAGGAUUCCCUUAGUAACGGCGAGUGAACUGGGAUACCCAAUAUACCAUCUGUGCGUACCUCGGUGCGUACAAAUUUUAGCCCGUCGAUACUAUCAGCUAGCAUAGUACUGGCUUCGGCCGGUAACCUAUCUAUGCGCGAAUUGUAGCAUCGUACAAAAAUAUAUUAUACAACGUAUAUAUACGCAACCCACACUUAUAUAUAUUUUUAUGCGUACACUUACUUUCAUAAACACACAGCGCUCUCGCGUUGGAAAGCAAGUUUAUAUCCUUUUUUGGAUACGCCGUAGAGUGUAACAGCCACGUUUCAACUCUACGUACGUACGUAUACACACGCGUUAUAUACAUACACUGUAUUUUAUAUAUAACCUGAGUCGAGUUAUUU
RNAcentral lists this ribosomal RNA (402 nucleotides) under Ammonia sp. 530. RNAcentral's name for it is "partial 28S ribosomal RNA". The record is from RNAcentral. Lineage: Eukaryota; Foraminifera; Rotaliida; Rotaliidae.